UGGGGAAUAUUGGACAAUGGGGGAAACCCUGAUCCAGCGAUGCCGCGUGAGUGAAGAAGGCCCUAGGGUUGUAAAGCUCUUUCAGUGGGGAAGAUAAUGACGGUACCCAAAGAAGAAGCACCGGCUAACUCCGUGCCAGCAGCCGCGGUAAUACGGAGGGUGCAAGCGUUGUUCGGAAUUACUGGGCGUAAAGAGCGCGUAGGCGGUCUUAUAAGUCAGACGUGAAAGCCCUGGGCUUAACCCAGGAUGUGCGUUUGAUACUGUAAGGCUAGAGGACCAGAGAGGUGAGUGGAAUUCCUAGUGUAGAGGUGAAAUUCGUAGAUAUUAGGAGGAACAUCAGUGGCGAAGGCGGCUCACUGGCUGGUAACUGACGCUGAGGCGCGAAAGCGUGGGGAGCAAA
This 400-nucleotide ribosomal RNA is filed under the name uncultured bacterium. RNAcentral's name for it is "bacterial SSU rRNA". It matches the Rfam family "Bacterial small subunit ribosomal RNA", at positions 355 to 772 of the family's 1533-position model. The record is from RNAcentral.